This 146-nucleotide unclassified non-coding RNA is filed under the name Calycina sp. (in: ascomycete fungi). RNAcentral describes it as "partial internal transcribed spacer 2". The record is from RNAcentral. RNAcentral also lists the same sequence under 2 other names. Lineage: Eukaryota; Fungi; Ascomycota; Leotiomycetes; Helotiales; Pezizellaceae.
CAACCCUCAAGCUCUGCUUGGUCUUGGGCCGCGCCGGUAACGGCGGGCCUCAAAAACAGUGGCGGCGCCGGUCGCGUCCUCAGCGUAGUAAUUCUUCUCGCUGCUGGGCGCGGGCGGCCGCUGGCCAACAACCCCAAAUUUUCUAU